RNAcentral lists this ribosomal RNA (253 nucleotides) under uncultured bacterium. RNAcentral describes it as "partial 16S ribosomal RNA". It matches the Rfam family "Bacterial small subunit ribosomal RNA", at positions 524 to 776 of the family's 1533-position model. The record is from RNAcentral.
UACAGAGGUCUCAAGCGUUGUUCGGAUUCAUUGGGCGUAAAGGGUGUGUAGGUGGCGCCGUUAGUCGGGUGUGAAAUUUCGGAGCUUAACUCCGAAACUGCAUUCGAUACUGCGGUGCUUGAGGACUGGAGAGGAGACUGGAAUUCAUGGUGUAGCAGUGAAAUGCGUAGAGAUCAUGAGGAAGACCAGUGGCGAAGGCGGGUCUCUGGGCAUUACCUGACGCUGAGGAGCGAAAGUGUGGGGAGCGAACAGG